This 402-nucleotide unclassified non-coding RNA is filed under the name soil metagenome. RNAcentral describes it as "partial contains 5.8S ribosomal RNA, internal transcribed spacer 2, and large subunit ribosomal RNA". The stretch from base 1 to 121 matches the Rfam family "5.8S ribosomal RNA", at positions 35 to 154 of the family's 154-position model. The record is from RNAcentral.
GAUGAAGAACGUAGCGAAAUGCGAUAAGUAAUGUGAAUUGCAGAAUUCAGUGAAUCAUCGAAUCUUUGUACGCACCUUGCGCCCUUUGGCUAUUCUGAAGGGCAUGCCUGUUUGAGUAUCAUGAACACCUCAACUCUCAUGGUUCGCCAUGAUGAGCUUGGACUUUGGGGGUCUUGCUGGCCUACGGUCGGCUCCUCUCAAAUGAAUCAGCUUGCCAGUGUUUGGUAGAGUCGCAGGUGUGAUAACUAUCUACGCUUGUGGUUUUCUGCCAGAUAACCUUCAGUGAUGGAGGUUCGCUGGAGCUUAUAAAUGUCUCUCCCCAGUGAGGACAGCUUUUUGAACGUUUGAUCUCAAAUCAGGUAGGACUACCCGCUGAACUUAAGCAUAUCAAUAAGCGGAGGA